This 434-nucleotide unclassified non-coding RNA is filed under the name Hevea brasiliensis (rubber tree). The record is from RNAcentral. Lineage: Eukaryota; Viridiplantae; Streptophyta; Magnoliopsida; Malpighiales; Euphorbiaceae.
CAAUCAACCGCUUUGCAUCUGCAAUAUACGAUUCCCAAUUAAUAAACACAAACCAACAUACAAAACCAAUGCAAUGGCAAUGAAAACGAGCAAGAUACAACAUCAGACUAAAAUAUGAAACUUGAUUAGCUACACCCAUUGCCAACUAAUCUCCUCUGCUUCACAAAUCAGACAAAAGCAAGAGUACAAUACUAAUACAGGUCUUUUUCUUUUCACCAGAGGAUUGCAGAUCCAAGAUCUGCUCCAUCCUCUAAAGUUCAGAUUCAGAUCUCAUCCAUGAGAUCCCACAGUGUUAGUCAUUCGAAUUCAAAACCUUUGGAUUUGAGUGAAAACCAAUUUAAUCACAAAUUUAAAAAAUAAAACAAAUAAACUAUAUAAAAAAAAAUUCUAAAUUAUAGUCCUCAGUUUAUAAAUACUAACCAAAGACGGUGUUG